GUUACUGCUAUCGGAGUUCGAUUAAGCCAUGCGAGUCUAAAGGUUCUUCGGAAACCUUGGCGGACUGCUCAGUAACGCGUGGAUAACCUACCCUUGGGACUGGAAUAACCCCGGGAAACUGGGGAUAAUACCGGAUAGAUCAGGGAUGCUGGAAUGCACCUUGAUCCAAAGCUCCGGCGCCCAAGGAUGGGUCUGCGACCUAUCAGGUUGUAGUGGGUGUAACGUACCUACUAGCCGACGACGGGUACGGGUUGUGAGAGCAAGAGCCCGGAGAUGGAUUCUGAGACACGAAUUCAGGCCCUACGGGGUGCAGCAGGCGCGAAACCUAUACAAUGUGCGAAAGCAUGAUAAGGGAACUCCGAGUGCCAGUAUCUAAUGCUGGCUGUCCUUGUGCCUAAAACGCACAAGAUAGCAAGGGCCGGGUAAGACCGGUGCCAGCCGCCGCGGUAACACCGGCGGCCCGAGUGGUAGCCGCUAUUAUUGGGUCUAAAGGGUCCGUAGCCGGUUCGAUAAGUCCUCUGGGAAAUCUGGUUGCUUAACAAUCAGACUGCCAAGGGAUACUGUCGAACUUGAGACCGGGAGAGGUAAGAGGUACUUCAGGGGUAGGAGUGAAAUCUUGUAAUCCCUGGGGGACCAUCUGUGGCGAAGGCGUCUUACCAGAACGGGUCUGACGGUGAGGGACGAAAGCUGGGGGCGCAAACCGGAUUAGAUACCCGGGUAGUCCCAGCCGUAAACGAUGCUCGCUAUGUGUCAGGUACGGUGUGACCGUAUCUGGUGCCGUAGGGAAGCCGUGAAGCGAGCCACCUGGGAAGUACGGUCGCAAGACUGAAACUUAAAGGAAUUGGCGGGGGAGCACUACAACGGGUGGAGCCUGCGGUUUAAUUGGAUUCAACGCCGGA
This 899-nucleotide ribosomal RNA is filed under the name uncultured archaeon. RNAcentral describes it as "bacterial SSU rRNA". It matches the Rfam family "Archaeal small subunit ribosomal RNA", at positions 23 to 922 of the family's 1478-position model. The record is from RNAcentral.